UACAGAGGGGGCAAGCGUUGUUCGGAAUUACUGGGCGUAAAGGGCGCGUAGGCGGCCUUCUAAGUCGAACGUGAAAUCCCUCGGCUUAACCGGGGAACUGCGUCUGAUACUGGAUGGCUUGAGUUUGGGAGAGGGAUGCGGAAUUCCAGGUGUAGCGGUGAAAUGCGUAGAUAUCUGGAGGAACACCGGUGGCGAAGGCGGCAUCCUGGACCAACACUGACACUGAGGAGCGAAAGCCAGGGGAGCAAACGGG
This 253-nucleotide ribosomal RNA is filed under the name uncultured bacterium. RNAcentral's name for it is "partial 16S ribosomal RNA". It matches the Rfam family "Bacterial small subunit ribosomal RNA", at positions 524 to 776 of the family's 1533-position model. The record is from RNAcentral.